Molecule: ribosomal RNA, 497 nt
Filed under: uncultured bacterium
Lineage: Bacteria
Description: partial 16S ribosomal RNA
Rfam family: Bacterial small subunit ribosomal RNA
Source: RNAcentral
GAUGAACGCUGGCGGCGUGCCUAAUACAUGCAAGUCGAGCGAACAGACGAGGAGCUUGCUCCUCUGACGUUAGCGGCGGACGGGUGAGUAACACGUGGAUAACCUACCUAUAAGACUGGGAUAACUUCGGGAAACCGGAGCUAAUACCGGAUAAUAUAUUGAACCGCAUGGUUCAAUAGUGAAAGACGGUUUUGCUGUCACUUAUAGAUGGGUCCGCGCCGCAUUAGCUAGUUGGUAAGGUAACGGCUUACCAAGGCAACGAUGCGUAGCCGACCUGAGAGAGUGAUCGGCCACACUGGAACUGAGACACGGUCCAGACUCCUACGGGAGGCAGCAGUAGGGAAUCUUCCGCAAUGGGCGAAAGCCUGACGGAGCAACGCCGCGUGAGUGAUGAAGGUCUUCGGAUCGUAAAACUCUGUUAUUAGGGAAGAACAAAUGUGUAAGUAACUAUGCACGUCUUGACGGUACCUAAUCAGAAAGCCACGGCUAACUACGUG